GUCCAUCUAGGUCAGCCUUCCCCACAACUAUGAGACUCUUAAUCUCAGGCUUGUGGGUUUGAACCCCAUGUUGGGCA
Molecule: non-coding RNA, 77 nt
Organism: Podarcis lilfordi (Lilford's wall lizard)
Lineage: Eukaryota; Metazoa; Chordata; Lepidosauria; Squamata; Lacertidae
Source: the annotation of a GenBank genome assembly